Durio zibethinus is the source of this 3516-nucleotide non-coding RNA. Lineage: Eukaryota; Viridiplantae; Streptophyta; Magnoliopsida; Malvales; Malvaceae. The record is from RefSeq and is a predicted model, not a curated record.
CAAAGAUAUACGGCCCAGAUUCACCUGCAGUUCGACCGACUUAACCCAAACAGUAAAAACGCUACCCGCAUAAGGUUGCGGUUCAGUUGAUCUACCUUCUCCUCUCCGUUUCACUCCAUGUCUUUCUUCUCGGUAUCUGUUUCAGUGAAAAAAAAAAAAAAAGAGUGAAACUCCAACGAACUUUCUAAAAACGUUCUCAAAUUUUCUAACCUAAAACAUUUCAAAUUGUUAAAUCCAGAACUCCCUGAUAACGGCGACGUCUUCUCCUUCUUCCGUUUUAGUUCGUACCAUCCUGGAAUGGGAGACGGUGAGUCAGUAGUCACCGACUCAACAGCAAUUAUGGAUAAUACAUCAGCAGCCUAUAAUUCUACUGGUUCUGGUGCUUACCCUUCUGUAGCUAUUGGAGAUCCUACUGCUGCUGGUGCACCAGCAUAUGGAACUUAUGUUGCAUCUGAUGGUGACCCAAAUUCAGCCGGUCAAGAUAGUCAAAUCAGUGCAAUGUAUGACAGUAAGCCAGCUGGUGGAUCAACUGAUGAGAAUGCUGCCAAUGAUGGAAAUACAGCAGCGGAUGCAUAUAAAACUGCUGGUUAUUAUUCAUCUUUAACUGGCAGUGUUGUAAAUGAAGCCGAAAAUGUUGCAACAGUUGAGAAUGGAAAUGUUUUUGAUAACGUAAGUGGAGCUUCUGCCGCACCAGAGUUUGUGGAUGGUUCUGUUCUAGUUACACAUAUGUCUGGUGAAGAGGAUCGUUUGUGGAGUAUUGUGAGAGCUAAUUCUUUGGAUUUUAAUGCUUGGACUACAUUGAUUGAGGAGACAGAGAAGGUUUCAGAGAACAAUAUAAUGAAAAUUCGAAAAGUUUAUGAUGCUUUUUUGGCUGAGUUUCCUUUGUGUUAUGGUUACUGGAAAAAGUAUGCGGAUCAUGAAGCACGCAUAGGCUCUGUGGACAAAGUUGUGGAGGUUUAUGAAAGAGCAGUUCAGGGAGUGACUUAUUCUGUGGACAUCUGGGUGCUAUAUGGUGCAUUUGCCAUAGAAACAUAUGGAGAUCUGGAAACCAUCCGAAGGCUUUUUGAACGAGGAUUAGCAUAUGUUGGAACUGAUUAUCUAUCUUUCCCUCUUUGGGAUAAAUACAUUGAAUAUGAAUACAUGCACCAGGAAUGGAGUCGCCUUGCUGCUAUCUAUACUAGAGUAUUAGAGAAUCCUAAUCAACAGCUAGAUAGGUAUUUCAACAGUUUUAAAGAGCUGGCUGGAAGUCGACCUUUGUCAGAAUUAAGAACUGCUGAGGAAGCUGCUGCCAAUGCAUCAGGUGUAGUUUCAGAGGCUGAUGGACAAGUAAAUGAUGGAGAGGUUCAUCCUGAUGCUGCAGAACAAACUCCUAAUCCUGUAAGUGCUAGCUCAACAGAAGCAGAAGAGUUGGAGAAGUAUGUUGCUGUUAGAGAAGAGCUGUAUAAGAAAGCUAAAGAGUUCGACUCUAAGAUUAUUGGUUUUGAAACAGCUAUUAGAAGGCCUUACUUUCAUGUGCGGCCUCUCAAUGUUUCUGAGCUUGAAAAUUGGCACAACUACCUGGACUUUAUCGAAAGAGAGGGUGACAUCAAUAAGGUGGUCAAAUUAUAUGAAAGGUGCCUAAUAGCCUGUGCCAAUUAUCCCGAGUACUGGAUACGAUAUGUUUUAUAUAUGGAAGCCAGUGGAAGCAUGGAUCUUGCUGAUAACACACUUGCCCGUGCUACGCAAGUCUUUGUCAAGAGGCAACCAGAGAUCCACCUUUUUGCUGCCCGAUUUAAGGAGCAGAAUGGGGACAUAUCAGGUGCUCGAGCUGCUUAUCAACUUGUUCACAGUGAAAUUUCACCUGGUCUAAUUGAGGCAAUUAUUAAGCAUGCAAAUAUGGAACGCCGUCUGGGGAAACUUGAAGAUGCUUUCUCUUUAUAUGAGCAAGUUAUUGCAAUUGAAAAAGGCAAAGAGCAUUCUCAAACAUUACCAAUGCUGUAUGCACAGUACUCUAGAUUUUUGUACUUGGUUUCUGGAAAUGCAGAGAAGGCUAGGGAAAUUCUAACUGGAGCAUUUGACCAAGUUCAACUGUCUAAACCAUUCCUUGAGGCAUUAAUACAUUUUGAAACAAUUUUGCCACCACCAAGGCAGAUUGAUUAUUUAGAAUUGUUGGUUAACAAGUUUAUAGCCCCGAACUCAGAUGGCACUGCUGCAGAGAGAGAAGAUCUAUCUAGCAUAUUUUUGGAGUUCUUGAGUCUCUUUGGAGAUGUACAGUCUAUUAAAAAGGCAGAAGAUCGACAUGCGAAGCUCUUUCUACCUGAUAGACCCAUGUCGGAAUUAAGAAAACGUCAUGCUGAAGAUUUUUUGUCUUCAGAUAAGACAAAGCUGGCAAAAUCAUACUCUGGUGCCCCUUCACCUGGCCAGUCUUUGAUGGGUGCCUAUCCAAAUGCUCAAAACCAGUGGCCUGCUGGUUAUGGUGCACAGCCUCAAACUUGGCCGCCCACUACACAGGCACAGGCACAGGCACAGGCACAGGCACAGGCACUGGCACAACCAUGGACUCCUGGCUACAGCCAACAGGCUGCUUAUGGUGCAUAUAGUAGUUAUGGUAGCAAUUAUGCAAUUCCACAAGUACCUACAUCAGUUCCACAAAGUGUCGGUUAUGGUGCUUAUCCCACUACGUAUCCUGUUCAGACCUUUCCUCAACAAAGUUAUGCUCAACCAACUGUUGCGACGGCAUUAACCCCAGCUCAGCAACCUGCUGCAGCAGUUCCUCAGACUUACUAUGGGACAUACUAUUGAGACUGCAGUAAUAUGACUACCAUUUUCUUUGCUGUCUCUAAUUUUGUCUUAUUGAUCAUCUGUGCGCCUAACCUGACCUGUGCUUUCUCUUUUUAACUUAAGACCUGUACUUGAUCUUUCUAACAUAAGACUGCUUAGCAGUUGGCUAAGGUGGACAUUUUAGGUUUUUGGGCGGGGUGAUGCUGUUGGGGACUGAGGGAUGUUGAGAACAGUAAACUUUUUUCGGCGACAAUGGUAAAUUGUUUAGUCGGGCUUCUAAUUGGCAGACCAAAAGAAAGAAAAGGAAAGGAAAGCAAGAAGAAGUUUUAUUUUCUCAAAUUAGAGGUUACAGGAGUCCGUGUUUCUAUUUAGAUAGAUAUGUUUCAUUAUUUCGGAGCGCAAAAAGGCCAAAGCCUAUAGUUUUUAUGAAUUUGUUAGGCCCGAAAAGGAAAUGGUAGUUUCCGAUAUGUGGGUAGGUCGGUCUCAGCUGCCUGCCUCACUCGGACGUCAGUGGAAGCCAGCAUGUUUUUGAUUCGGACUGCACAACGAUUGGGAUGAUCUUAUCCGUGACCAUGAUCCAUCAAUACCUUUUGCACCUUUGUUUUCUCUUUUGUUAUAGGGUUAAUUUCUUACAUUGGUAUUACUUGCGCCAGAUAUUGUGAAUGGACCUCAGUGUGCUUGCACCUAAGGCCAGAGCAGAAGAGAAAAGAGGUGAAAAAACGGAAAAUUUAUUGGAAAUCGAUUUGGAUUGAAUUG